RNAcentral lists this ribosomal RNA (503 nucleotides) under uncultured bacterium. RNAcentral describes it as "partial 16S ribosomal RNA". It matches the Rfam family "Bacterial small subunit ribosomal RNA", at positions 30 to 523 of the family's 1533-position model. The record is from RNAcentral.
AUUGAACGCUGGCGGCAGGCUUAACACAUGCAAGUCGAGCGGGGUGAUGGUGCUUGCACUAUCACUUAGCGGCGGACGGGUGAGUAAUGCUUAGGAAUCUGCCUAUUAGUGGGGGACAACAUCUCGAAAGGGAUGCUAAUACCGCAUACGUCCUACGGGAGAAAGCAGGGGAUCACUUGUGACCUUGCGCUAAUAGAUGAGCCUAAGUCGGAUUAGCUAGUUGGUGGGGUAAAGGCCUACCAAGGCGACGAUCUGUAGCGGGUCUGAGAGGAUGAUCCGCCACACUGGGACUGAGACACGGCCCAGACUCCUACGGGAGGCAGCAGUGGGGAAUAUUGGACAAUAGGGGGAACCCUGAUCCAGCCAUGCAGCGUGUGUGAAGAAGGCCUUAUGGUUGUAAAGCACUUUAAGCGAGGAGGAGGCUCUUUUGGUUAAUACCCAAGAUGAGUGGACGUUACUCGCAGAAUAAGCACCGGCUAACUCUGUGCCAGCAGCCGCAGUAA